AGCAAAUAGAUACCCGGGUAGUCCACGCCGUAAACUAUGAAUACUAGGUGUUGGUGGCUCGAUCCCACCAGUGCCGUAGCUAAACGCGUUAAGUAUUCCGCCUGAGGAGUACGGUCGCAAGAUUAAAACUCAAAGGAAUAGACGGGGACCCACACAAGCGGUGGAGCAUGUUGUUUAAAUUCGAUGACAAACGGGGAACCUUACCCAGGCUUGACAUCUAGGGAAUCUGCCAGAAAUGGCGGAGUGCCGCAAGGAACCCUAAGACAAGCGCUGCAUGGUCGUCGUCAGCUCGUGCCUUGAGGUGUUCGGUUAGGUCCGUGAACGAGCGCAACCCUCGUCCUAAGUUGCAUGUUUCUUAGGAGACUGCCCGUGUUAAACGGGAGGAAGGUGAGGAUGACGUCAGAUCAGCAUGGCCUUUAUGCCUGGGGCUACUAACGUGCUACAAUGGGGCAUACAAAGGGUAGCGAAGCCGUAAGGUGGAGCCAAUCCCAUCAAACGUGCCUCCCAGUUCGGAUUGAGGGGCUGCAACUCGACCUCAUGAAGUU
This 545-nucleotide ribosomal RNA is filed under the name uncultured bacterium. RNAcentral's name for it is "bacterial SSU rRNA". It matches the Rfam family "Bacterial small subunit ribosomal RNA", at positions 767 to 1327 of the family's 1533-position model. The record is from RNAcentral.